Rhododendron vialii is the source of this 420-nucleotide long non-coding RNA. RefSeq lists it as uncharacterized. NCBI's taxonomy places the organism in Eukaryota, Viridiplantae, Streptophyta, Magnoliopsida, Ericales, Ericaceae. The record is from RefSeq and is a predicted model, not a curated record. The transcript has 2 exons.
CCCCCCCCCCCCCCCCCCCCCAACCAAAUCUUCUUCGAUCCCAUUGCUAUGCUGAGGGAGGUCGACAAGAUCGACAGGAAGAUCGAGCGGAACAAAGAGGUGGGCCCAUCGGCUGGAGUUUUGGUUACUGUCAAGGAUAAUAUUUGUACGGUGGACGACGUCUGGGUCUAGGGUUCUGGAACGGUAUCGGCCGCCGUUUGAUGCCAUGGCGAUGAGGGAGUUGAGUGAGAGUGGGUCUAUUAUGGUUGGGAAGACUAAUUUGGAUGAGUUUGGGAUUGGGAGUACUACUGAUGCUUCUGCAUACCAGAGGCCAAGGGUGUUCGAAAAAGAUUGUGAGGGAGUGCAGGAUUUGUAUAGAAGAAGAUGAAGAGCAUGAGAUGGAGGCUCCCUGUGCGUGUAAUGGAACUCUAAAGAUGAAGG